GAGAAGGAAAGGCUAAGCUUGAUUUGAUCUCACAAUCCGGGCAAAUUACACCUCGAAAACUUUCCUAGCUAAAUAAAAGAGUUUAGGUACUAGAGCUCAUUACAAAACUCUAAAACUCUGAAUAAAAUCUGACUUUUCAAUUACAAAUAAGCUUCCCAUCUUUAAAGGGGAUAUCCUAAAACUAAAGAGGAAGAAAAUAAAAUAUCCCUUUAAAAAAGAAAAAGACAAUCCCUAUUAUUCUGCUCUUUCUGUAAUCAUCACUUUCCAAAUUGGUCUUCUUCAAUCAUGCCCGAAAAUCCCGUGAUAUUUUAUAAAUCACGUCUGCGGUCUUGCGUACGAGGUUUGCCCUAUAAGAGGUCUGCUUGGUAAAGGGUCGGCUCUGCGAGAGGUUUGCCUUGUAAGAGGUCGAUGCUGCCCAAAAUCUAUUUCGCGAUUCCACCUUUGAUUUCUACCUAAAUCUUCUAAUUUAAGAGCUUUUCUUUUAAAGAAUACAGAAUCUGUCAAUAUUGCAAAAAGAAAAGAAAUGAUUAUAAUUCAGCACAAUCAACUCUAAUUUUACGAGAAAUAAUGUGCAUUAAAUAUGCAUAAUAUACACCAUAUUAAAUUCUCACAUACUUAGUUCAUGCUUGCUCUCAAGUAUGAGAUAUAUGUAAAAAUUCAUUUCCCACAUGUACUCCUUAGCUCGGCCUUCCUGUUUGAAUAAAGCUUCACCCAAUAAGUUCCAAGAGAUUAACCCAAAAAGCAAUGUAAAGAUAGGCAAUAGUAGAAUACCCCCUAUAGAGCCCAAAACUCAAGCAUCAAAGAUACACAAAGUAGAGCCUCAAUAUUUAAGCACACAAUUAAGAUUUUCAAGUGAUUAAAUCAACUCAAAUCAAGUUAGAUGCCAAAACCAGCCAGGUUAUAAAGCACACAACACUUCAUAUUUUAUUUUUUGUUAAUGCUAAGCGUCAGGAACCAUUCCAGCUCAAAAAUCUUCUUUAUAUUGUAUGUAGUGAAGCACUUUUUCUUGCUUGAGGUGUCAAUUAUUUUCGGCGUGAGGACACAUAUUGGUGAUACCCAUUCCCGGCUACUUGUAUCACAAUUCUCAAGUGGCUACUAGCUCUACUCUUUAUCCAUUAUCAGAUAGAGGAGUAGGUUUUGUGCUUCUCAGAGCUCAUUUUACUUUCUUGAAGAUGAAAUGGCACAUCCAUUACUUAGCACUUUUAUUUUGAGCACAAUGUUAUCACACAAUUACCAUGGCUGAGGUUCCAUCACAUACUUUAACUGAGUUGACAAUCAAUUUAAGAGCAAGCAAUCUUUCAGUCAAAUAUUCAUUAUAAGACUCUCUCAAUGUGUAUUUAAGAGUCUAGCACUGUGAGCAAAAGAGAGACUCUACUAAGACUACCUAGACAUUGCAAACUGACUUAACCUCCCAAAGCUCAAGUAGCUAGCCUUUCAUAUAAGCAGGGGUCUAAAGACCUUGAAAACGGUUUAACAAGAGGGAAGAAACAUGUUGAAGCAUGUUUGAUGAAACCUCCCCAAACUUAGCUCACUUGGUCCCUAAUGUGAAUGAUGUAUAAUCAAAACUGAAAAACAAGAAAGGAAGGGGACUUUCCUGGAGUCAUGGGAGCAGCAGGUGCGACAGGGCAAGUGCAUAGCAGAGGGAAAAAAUGGUCGGAUCCAUUCAGGAAUGGUGGGAGUCAAUAGUAUCCAAGUGCGAGGCAAGGUGCUUGUGC
RNAcentral lists this long non-coding RNA (1715 nucleotides) under Manihot esculenta (cassava). RNAcentral's name for it is "long non-coding RNA (MESC_LNC001688)". The record is from RNAcentral. Lineage: Eukaryota; Viridiplantae; Streptophyta; Magnoliopsida; Malpighiales; Euphorbiaceae.